This is a long non-coding RNA of Fukomys damarensis (Damara mole-rat), 2098 nucleotides long. The record is from Ensembl. Lineage: Eukaryota; Metazoa; Chordata; Mammalia; Rodentia; Bathyergidae.
AUGGCGGGAGGGGCUUUUAAAUUUAUUUAUUUUUUGGGUGCAACUCUGCCAGGUAACCCUAAACAUGGGUUAAAGAACUUGUGCUGGAGUUCAAAGGGGCCUUGGAGAGAGCCUGUUCCCCACAGCAUUCAGUGUCACCGGCUGGUCUCUCUGCUGGCCACAGUGGAACUGCAGUGUGGAGGGGACUUUAACGUCAGCACCGCCGGGUCCCUAGUUGCCCUUCCCGCCUCUUCACGGCGUCCCUGGGGAGAAGAGGGAGGCGCCUGUGCUGCCCACAGCCGUGAGGGAGCCUUUACUGACUGCCGACUGUGUCCCUGUGACAGUGGUAGGGCCACGAGGAGCAAGUCACCGUUCUGUUUUUAUCUUCUGCGUAAGUGAACGAGAAUGUCCCCUUUCAUAUCCACCCUCUGUGUAUAUGGGAGUGUGUACAUGUGUGUCAGGGUGUGCACAUGUGUGCCUGCGUAUUUUUUGCUUUUGUCUUUUCGAGACAGGGUCUCACCGCUGCAGUCCUCCUGCCUCAGCUUCCAGAAUGCUGGGAUUAGCAGUGUGCACCACCAAGCCUGGCUGUGAGUAUAUGUCCAUGUGUGAGACUGUGUGUGAGUGUGUGUGGAUUGCUUAUUACUGAGAGGGACGAGCAGCUUGUACCCUCUGGCUGCUGCCGGUCCACAUCUCCUCGCACUUUUAUUGUGUUUUUGCCUCUUUACAGAUGACCCGUCCUUACUGGUUUCUGUCUUUUGCGGCACCUGUUUUCUGCAUGUAGAUGAUUUUAGUUACCAGGGUCACAGAAGGCAUCAAGACUCAGGAGAGGAGGGUAAUAAAUGCUCCUCUUACGUGGGGCACUUCCUUCCCUGGGCGGUGCCUUCCCGUUCCCGGGGACGUGCUGAGCCCAGGGCGUGAGACUGAAGCAGCUCCCCUUCUCAUUUCAUCAGAUUGACCCAGCCUUAUCUUUUCUGUUUAUGUUUCUCUGGACUUUUUCAUUUAUUCUUGUCAUUUGCCUUGGAAAGCUGUUUGGAAAUCUUUUUGGGCCCCCAAGCGGCCCAGAGCAGGUCCAAAACAUGUCGUUUAGUGGCGGGGAACGAAGUCAGCCUGGUGCUUGCAGGGAGCUGAAGGGACACCACCACGUCAUCCACCCUGUCGUAUUUGCUAAAAUGCAACAAAGAAUUACUGCAAAUUUUAUUUGGAAAUAAUAAAGAAUCAAGAAUGGGUGGGCAGACAUUUCCAAGGGAGGGCAAAUAAAAUGUGAGCUGGAUGGAAAGUACUGCAGCCACUAUGGCAUCAGACUAGAGACGAUUAAAAAAACCCAAAAGUGGAAAUUUCAUUUGACUCAGCUAUUCCACUUCUUCCUAAAAGAGUUAAAGACAUCAGGUCAUACUGACGAUGUGCACCCGUGUUUAUAGCAGCACAACUCACAGUAGCUGAAUCUUGGAAUCAGGCUGUGUGCUCAUCCACUGACGGCUAGAUAAAGUGUGGUGUUUACACACCAUGGAGUACUACUCUUCCAUAAAGAAAGAUAAACUUGAGUCAUUUGUAUAAAAAUGGAUAUUCCUUGAGGUCAUAAUGUUAAGAUUUAUUUUUCAGACAUACAAGCUUAAGUAUCACAUGGUUUCUCAUAUGAGAUAACCACACAUAUAAAUAACAGCAAAAUAAAAGACAGAUGGUAAGAAAUAGAGGGAUAAAUCUUUCUCACAUGGGAAGGGGAGCCAGAGACAGAGGGAGGAGCAGAGAGGGGAGGGAAAGAAGAUUAAAAAAGAAAUAAGGCAUACAGGUAUCAAUUCCACACAAGGAAUGUAAAUGUUAUGUACUACAAAUGUGUACUAAUAAAAAUUAAAAAUAUUAAAGAUUAUUGGUACUUAAUCUCUUUAAGUUUGAGAAGGGCAGAGGAUCUGUGGAGCUCUUCUGGAGUAGAUGGGCCAGGCAGAGGGGAAAAGGGAAGACAGGCUGUGGAAGGCUGUAGUGCUGUGAGGAAAGCGACCCAAGUUGCUGUUAAAAGUGCAAGCUCAGGCCGGGGAUUUAGCUCAGUGAUUCCAACACCUGCCUUGCAAGUGCAAGGACCCAAGUUUGAUCCCCGGUACCAAAAAAAAAAAAAAAAAAAAAAAAA